CACGUAGGGGGCAAGCGUUGUCCGGAUUUAUUGGGCGUAAAGAGCUCGUAGGUGGUUCGGUAAGUCGGGUGUUAAACCCCCAGGCUCAACCUGGGGACGCCACUCGAUACUGCUGUGACUAGAGUCCGGUAGGGGAGCGUGGAAUUCCUGGUGUAGCGGUGAAAUGCGCAGAUAUCAGGAGGAACACCGGUGGCGAAGGCGGGUCUCUGGGCCGAUAUUGACGCUGAGGAGCGAAAGCGUGGGGAGCGAACAGG
RNAcentral lists this ribosomal RNA (254 nucleotides) under uncultured bacterium. RNAcentral describes it as "partial 16S ribosomal RNA". It matches the Rfam family "Bacterial small subunit ribosomal RNA", at positions 524 to 776 of the family's 1533-position model. The record is from RNAcentral.